Molecule: long non-coding RNA, 1460 nt
Organism: Strigops habroptila (Kakapo)
Lineage: Eukaryota; Metazoa; Chordata; Aves; Psittaciformes; Psittacidae
Exons: 3
Source: RefSeq, a predicted model, not a curated record
AAAAACCCAGUUGAAACAUCUCCUCUCACCUCUCCCCUCCAAUCAUUUUGUUAAAGGGUCCUUGUCUUUCUUCUGUCAUUUCAUUUGCAAACAAGCACUCUUAACUGUAAUGCAGGGAUAGCUUUCAGUUUGACUUGGCUUUUAAUAAUUUGUUUCAGGAGGAUUAAAACCUUUCUUUUGAAUCAUGUCUGAUAUUUUCCAGUCAUGUCAUAAUUCACUUGUUGCAGAUUCUGCACUAGAUGAUUUCUAAAUUUAUGGGGAAGUUUUUUGCAUCUGAAGUAUGAACCAGGUCUCUCCUGCACCAAGGAUCUGCCCAUUGUUGCUGUAUACUGAGCUUCAACCAUUACUUCAAUUUGGGAGAAGGGGCUUUUGGGCAGGAGCAAGACAGGAGUUCCCUUCUUCUGACAGUUUCAUGCUUGGAGGAAGAGUGUCUGGCUAUGACAGGGUACCCAAGAAUUGUAGCAUGUUACUGCUCUAUCUGUAGACCCAGGUUAAAGCUCAGAAUUAGCUUGCUUUCAGUUUCUUUAUCUGGAUCUGUUUCUUUGACGGCUGAAGCUAGGCCUAGAACAUGCUUGUCAUGUGUAACAGUUCUUACAUACGCUAUUAGUUUUACUGUCUUAUCUUUGCUGUAUUGUGGUGUCUGCAGAGGGGAGAAAAAAGCCUUAUGUCAUUGCAAAGUCUUGUUUCAGUGCUCCUUUCUUGCUUUUUAUGAGCAUCUACCUUUUCUUUUGCUAUUAUGUUGACCAGAGAACUCUUUGGGGUUUUUGUGCGCUGUGUGUGUCCCUCCCCCCUUUUUUGUUAUGCAAUGGAAGGGAGGUCAGGCCUGAAAUAGGUGCCUCAAUAUAUUACUGGUUACUUUUAUUAAACAUAAUGCAUUUUCUAGGCUAUAUGUAGUGUAUCAACUACAAGGGGAAGCAGCAUUCUGUCUUGCUCUUGUUGAAUUCCUGAUUCUGGUGCCCUUAAGUAAGCAGCGUUGCAGAGAUGUGAUGACUGUCCUAAAUAAUUCUAGCACUAGAGGGAAAUGUUUGUGGCUCUGUUUGGCAAGUCAGACACAACAGUUCUGAAAAGGGAUUUGUUCACUGUUAUGGCUUGCCUGCCAGAAGACAGUUGUUACAUCUUAUCUUCUAUCCCUCACACUACCGUCCAGUGAAAUCUUUUGUGGUUGUCUUACUGGUCCAGUCUUCUCCAUGUAGGAGACCUGAAUAAUGCAGGGUCAAAGUGACAGAGGUGAAAUCAGGUAGAGGCUUGGUGAUGGAACAAGACCAGGGCUACCACUUGGACUGCAACUGAGCCAGUCUUGCAGCUUAAUAACACACAUCUUCACCCUGUGUAUUUUAUGCUAGGAGGAAAACUUGUUCUGGCAUAGAUGAAAGAAUGCUGAAUGUGUAGAAGUGGGGAACUAGAUUGUGAUAAGCUCUAGAAAGGAAUGUGUAUCUCGUGGGUGGGGGAAUUUACUUAAA